Pseudophryne corroboree (corroboree frog) is the source of this 1461-nucleotide long non-coding RNA. RefSeq lists it as uncharacterized. NCBI's taxonomy places the organism in Eukaryota, Metazoa, Chordata, Amphibia, Anura, Myobatrachidae. The transcript is spliced from 3 exons. The record is from RefSeq and is a predicted model, not a curated record.
GUAUGUCUGACAUUGUGCAUUAUGCUAUAAUGCAGGUGUAUGUCAUCAUACAACUGACACACCGCAGCUCCCAGCAGCCCCAGCAACUGCUCAAGAGCUCAGGAGCAGGACACAUGACCAGUCAGGUGGUGAGACCAGUGACAGUUGGGAGAAAGUGUUGGUUGGUGAGAGCUGAGCUGAGGUAAUCUUGAGAGGAGAGCUAUGCCAUCAAGUGUGUGCUGAGGUGGCGUGGGGGUGACGGAGGAGAUGGAGGCAGACCUUCCUACCACAAUGGUGGUCAGAGAGAUGGCUUUACCCCCAUGCAAGGCAAGUCUGGGGGUGCAGAUGUAAUAAGAGUGACCGCAGCAGCUUCCAUAGCGGCAGUGGGUGGAGUUUUAUCUGGAGCCCUGGCAGUUAGUAAUGCCUCAGAGUGGACCAGGCCUCCCCAAUUAAGGCAAGAGGUCGGCGGCAGUAACAAAGGAAUAGUCCGUGGGAGCAGAUUGUCCGGAAAGAUACCCAGUAUCCCACACUGACAGCUACGGACAGCAUGGAGACCUAACACAGACACUUGGAGAGGGCGAACACAACGGCAAGCUGCUGCUGCUGCUGGGAGCCCACACCAGGCCCCUUCUCAGGCCCCCUCCCCCUCUCCAGCCCACUCCCCCUCUCCAGCCCACACCCCCUCUCCGGACCACUCCCCCUCUCCAGCCACCUCACCCUCUCCGGCCCACACCCCCUCUCCGGACCACUCCCCCUCUCCAGCCACCUCACCCUCUCCGGCCCACACCCCCUCUCCGGACCACUCCCCCUCUCCAGCCACCUCACCCUCUCCAGCCCACACCCCCUCUCCGCCCACCUCACCCUCUCCGGCCCAAUCCCACUCUCUUUCCCAAUCCCCCUCUCCAGCCCAAUCCCACUCUCUUUCCCAAUCCCCCUCUCCAGCCCAAUCCCACUCUCUUUCCCAAUUCCCCUCUCCAGCCCAAUCCCACUCUCUCUCCCAAUUCCCCUCUCUGCCCCCUCCCCCUCUGUGUCCCAAAAAACCACUCCACCACCCUCACCCUAUCAUUCACAAACCCCCUCUGUAAGGACCUCCCCCUUCCAUACUCUUACACAAUUAGACCCUCCUUCCCCCAUCCUGCCUCCUUCCCCCAUCCAGCACCCAUCCCCCAUCCAGCCAACCUCACCCAUCCAGCCUCCAUCCCACAGCCAGCCACCUUCGCGACCAUGUGAAUGGGCAGCAGAGGCCCCGGAGCCACUUGAGGGAGGUGGGCAAGUGGCAGAGGAGAAUGCUGCAGUUGGAGAUCCCAACAGUUUUCCGGCAAUUUUCCUGCGCAUAAAAGGCCAUUUGAGGGCAGUAAUUGCCGAUAUAGAGGCAAUGGAGACAUUUUUUUAUUUUUUUAUUUUUUAUUGGGUUAACAGUUUUAUAUCUGAAAAACAAAAAACAAAACAAAACAAAAUAAAUACAAAAAUUGAUUAAGUUAA